AUUGAACGCUGGCAGCAGGCCUAACACAUGCAAGUCGAACGGCAGCACAGAAGAGCUUGCCCUUUGGGUGGCGAGUGGCGGACGGGUGAGUAAUGUCUGGGAAACUGCCCGAUGGAGGGGGAUAACUACUGGAAACGGUAGCUAAUACCGCAUAACGUCGCGAGACCAAAGUGGGGGACCUUCGGGCCUCACACCAUCGGAUGUGCCCAGAUGGGAUUAGCUAGUAGGUGGGGUAAUGGCUCACCUAGGCGACGAUCCCUAGCUGGUCUGAGGGGAUGACCAGCCACACUGGAACUGAGACACGGUCCAGACUCCUACGGGAGGCAGCAGUGGGGAAUAUUGCACAAUGGGCGCAAGCCUGAUGCAGCCAUGCCGCGUGUAUGAAGAAGGCCUUCGGGUUGUAAAGUACUUUCAGCGGGGAGGAAGGCGGUGAGGUUAAUAACCUUGCCGAUUGACGUUACCCGCAGAAGAAGCACCGGCUAACUCCGUGCCAGCCGCCGCCGUAA
Molecule: ribosomal RNA, 506 nt
Filed under: uncultured bacterium
Lineage: Bacteria
Description: partial 16S ribosomal RNA
Rfam family: Bacterial small subunit ribosomal RNA
Source: RNAcentral